This 612-nucleotide ribosomal RNA is filed under the name Mycobacterium kubicae. RNAcentral's name for it is "bacterial SSU rRNA". It matches the Rfam family "Bacterial small subunit ribosomal RNA", at positions 51 to 679 of the family's 1533-position model. The record is from RNAcentral. Lineage: Bacteria; Bacillati; Actinomycetota; Actinomycetes; Mycobacteriales; Mycobacteriaceae.
AAACAUGCAAGUCGAACGGAAAGGCCCCUUCGGGGGUACUCGAGUGGCGAACGGGUGAGUAACACGUGGGUGAUCUACCCUGCACUUCGGGAUAAGCCUGGGAAACUGGGUCUAAUACCGGAUAGGACCAUGAGAUGCAUGUCUUAUGGUGGAAAGCUUUUGCGGUGUGGGAUGGGCCCGCGGCCUAUCAGCUUGUUGGUGGGGUGACGGCCUACCAAGGCGACGACGGGUAGCCGGCCUGAGAGGGUGUCCGGCCACACUGGGACUGAGAUACGGCCCAGACUCCUACGGGAGGCAGCAGUGGGGAAUAUUGCACAAUGGGCGCAAGCCUGAUGCAGCGACGCCGCGUGGGGGAUGACGGCCUUCGGGUUGUAAACCUCUUUCAGCAGGGACGAAGCGCAAGUGACGGUACCUGCAGAAGAAGCACCGGCCAACUACGUGCCAGCAGCCGCGGUAAUACGUAGGGUGCGAGCGUUGUCCGGAAUUACUGGGCGUAAAGAGCUCGUAGGUGGUUUGUCGCGUUGUUCGUGAAAACCGGGGGCUUAACCCUCGGCGUGCGGGCGAUACGGGCAGACUGGAGUACUGCAGGGGAGACUGGAUUCCUGGUGUAGC